AACGCACCUUGCGCCCCUUGGCAUUCCGAGGGGCACACCCGUUUGAGUGUCGUGAAAUUCUCAAAAACCCUUUCCUUUUGAUCGGAUUUUUGGACUUGGAGGUUCAAUGCUCGCCUUCAACUUUUGAAAGCGAGCUCCUCUCAAAUACAUUAGUGGGGUCCGCUUUGCUGGUCCUUGACGUGAUAAGAUGUUUCUACGUUUUGGAUUUGGCACUGUCCCUUUGGAUCCCGCUCCCAACCCGUCCGUCUCACGGACAACGAUGGUGCUCCGGUCACCGCCAUUUACAUCGGCGGGAGGCUGGACCCACAAAAACGAACCUUGACCUCAAAUCGGGUGAGACUACCCGCUGAACUUAA
RNAcentral lists this unclassified non-coding RNA (356 nucleotides) under uncultured Russula. RNAcentral describes it as "sequence contains ITS2". Lineage: Eukaryota; Fungi; Basidiomycota; Agaricomycetes; Russulales; Russulaceae. The record is from RNAcentral.